RNAcentral lists this ribosomal RNA (468 nucleotides) under uncultured bacterium. RNAcentral's name for it is "partial 16S ribosomal RNA". It matches the Rfam family "Bacterial small subunit ribosomal RNA", at positions 28 to 507 of the family's 1533-position model. The record is from RNAcentral.
GACGAACGCUGGCGGCGUGCUUAACACAUGCAAGUCGAACGGAAAGGCCCUGCUUUUGUGGGGUGCUCGAGUGGCGAACGGGUGAGUAACACGUGAGUAACCUGCCCUUGACUUUGGGAUAACUUCAGGAAACUGGGGCUAAUACCGGAUAGGAGCUCCUGCUGCAUGGUGGGGGUUGGAAAGUUUCGGCGGUUGGGGAUGGACUCGCGGCGUAUCAGCUUGUUGGUGGGGUAGUGGCUUACCAAGGCUUUGACGGGUAGCCGGCCUGAGAGGGUGACCGGCCACAUUGGGACUGAGAUGCGGCCCAGACUCCUACGGGAGGCAGCAGUGGGGAGUAUUGCACAGUAGGCGGAAGCCUGAUGCAGCAACGCCGCGUGCGGGAUGACGGCCUUCGGGUUGUAAACCGCUUUCGCCUGAGACGAAGCGUGAGUGACGGUAAUGGGUAAAGAAGCACCGGCUAACUACGUG